UGCAGUCGAGCGGUAACAGAUCCAGCUUGCUGGAUGCUGACGAGCGGCGGACGGGUGAGUAAUGCAUAGGAAUCUGCCCGAUAGUGGGGGAUAACCUGGGGAAACCCAGGCUAAUACCGCAUACGUCCUACGGGAGAAAGGGGGCUCCGGCUCCCGCUAUGGGAUGAGCCUAUGUCGGAUUAGCUAGUUGGUGAGGUAACGGCUCACCAAGGCUACGAUCCGUAGCUGGUCUGAGAGGAUGAUCAGCCACAUCGGGACUGAGACACGGCCCGAACUCCUAC
Molecule: ribosomal RNA, 281 nt
Filed under: Vreelandella aquamarina
Lineage: Bacteria; Pseudomonadati; Pseudomonadota; Gammaproteobacteria; Oceanospirillales; Halomonadaceae
Description: partial 16S ribosomal RNA
Rfam family: Bacterial small subunit ribosomal RNA
Source: RNAcentral